UACAGAGGGUGCAAGCGUUGUUCGGAAUUAUUGGGCGUAAAGCGCGUGUAGGCGGCUUUGCAAGUCGGGUGUGAAAGCCCUCAGUUCAACUGAGGAAGUGCGCCCGAAACUGCAGAGCUUGAGUGCCGGAGAGGGUGGCGGAAUUCCCCAAGUAGAGGUGAAAUUCGUAGAUAUGGGGAGGAACACCGGUGGCGAAGGCGGCCACCUGGACGGUAACUGACGCUGAGACGCGAAAGCGUGGGUAGCAAACAGG
This 253-nucleotide ribosomal RNA is filed under the name uncultured bacterium. Its description in RNAcentral is "partial 16S ribosomal RNA". It matches the Rfam family "Bacterial small subunit ribosomal RNA", at positions 524 to 776 of the family's 1533-position model. The record is from RNAcentral.